Molecule: ribosomal RNA, 484 nt
Filed under: uncultured bacterium
Lineage: Bacteria
Description: partial 16S ribosomal RNA
Rfam family: Bacterial small subunit ribosomal RNA
Source: RNAcentral
AUUGAACGCUGGCGGCAGGCCUAACACAUGCAAGUCGAGCGGAUGAAGGGAGCUUGCUCCUGGAUUCAGCGGCGGACGGGUGAGUAAUGCCUAGGAAUCUGCCUGGUAGUGGGGGAUAACGUCCGGGAACGGGCGCUAAUACCGCAUACGUCCUGAGGGAGAAAGUGGGGGAUCUUCGGACCUCACGCUAUCAGAUGAGCCUAGGUCGGAUUAGCUAGUUGGUGGGGUAAAGGCCUACCAAGGCGACGAUCCGUAACUGGUCUGAGAGGAUGAUCAGUCACACUGGAACUGAGACACGGUCCAGACUCCUACGGGAGGCAGCAGUGGGGAAUAUUGGACAAUGGGCGAAAGCCUGAUCCAGCCAUGCCGCGUGUGUGAAGAAGGUCUUCGGAUGGUAAAGCACUUUAAGUUGGGAGGAAGGGCAGUAAGUUAAUACCUUGCUGUUUUGACGUUACCAACAGAAUAAGCACCGGCUAACUUCGUG